CUGUGUUGAAGAAAGAUUGACCAACAAAUUGACCGUCCCACACUCAUUCCCUUCCACUUCCACUCUUACUAUCCAUCUAUGUGUGUAUAUAUGAAAUAAUGGCAUAUAUAUAUAUAUAAUCUCGUGAAGGAAUGCUCUUUUCCAUUAGCUUGAACUUUUUUGAUGGUGGCGGAGUAGUUGAGCGGGAAGAACUCUAUUUUAUCUGGUGUACGUGUAGCUGAUAGUUGGCUGUAAAAUAACUGCAAGAACUUGAAGAAGAAAACCCAUAGUUGAGUCUGUCCAGUAAUUUACAAAUCCUGAUCUUUCAACCUACUAGAGAACCUAAAUGAGGGUUUGAAAUUGCUGGCUUGGUGAUUAGUAUUUGAAACUUUAACUUUGGUUGAAAUCUGUUAGCAUGGGAAAGACAGUUCAGGUGUCGGGGUUCCCUUAUCUUGUGACUGCAGAAGAGGCUAAAACUUGCAUAGAGAAGCAUACUGGAGCAGGCUCUGUAUCUGCCUUAGAGGUUAAAAAGUGCAGAACGGGACAACGAUCAUAUGCGAAAGUCCAAUUUGGAAACAAUAGAAUCGCGGAUCAAAUUAUAAGUUUGGCCAAUAACAGGAAGUUGUAUUUUGGCACCUCGUAUUUGAAGGCUUUUGAAAUGGACACCCGUAUUGUGCAA
Ipomoea triloba (trilobed morning glory) is the source of this 658-nucleotide long non-coding RNA. RefSeq lists it as uncharacterized. The record is from RefSeq and is a predicted model, not a curated record. NCBI's taxonomy places the organism in Eukaryota, Viridiplantae, Streptophyta, Magnoliopsida, Solanales, Convolvulaceae. The transcript has 3 exons.